RNAcentral lists this ribosomal RNA (392 nucleotides) under uncultured bacterium. Its description in RNAcentral is "bacterial SSU rRNA". It matches the Rfam family "Bacterial small subunit ribosomal RNA", at positions 28 to 313 of the family's 1533-position model. The record is from RNAcentral.
GACGAACGCUUGCGGCGUGCCUAAGAAAUGCAAGUCGAGCGGGAAGAGCAAUCUUCUAGCGGCGAACGGUCGCGUAACACGUAAGCAACCUGCCCGAAAGACCGGGACAACACUCCGAAAGGGGUGCUAAUACCGGAUGUGCCCACUUCCUUGCCUGAGGAGGUGAGUAAAACGCGCAAAAACUUUCCAAGGAAGACAGGAGACAGAAGACAGAAGCCAGAGGGGGUUGCCGGUAACGGUCGCUUUUCUUGNGUCUUCUUCAAUUCUGUCUUCUGUCUUCUGCGGAAGCUUGUGGCGGCUUUUGGAGGGGCUUGCGGCCUAUCAGAUAGUUGGUGGGUAACGCCUACAAGUCAUCGACGGGUAGCUGGUCUGGAGAGGAUGGUCAGCCGGAC